GGCAGGUUCGGUGGCGCUCGGGUCGGGCCGCCCCGUCCGCGCUGAGUCCGGUCCCUCUGGUGAGGGGCUGCGGUGAAGCCCCAGGCUCUCGGCCUCUGCUGCAGACUCGCGGGCCCAGCCUGCCUCCAACUAGCUUCCAAGCUAGGGCCGGGCACCAGCCUUGCAUCACCUCGGGACAGGCAGCGUGAAUGCUGAGGACAGAAGAGUUUGAUGACACAGCAUUGAAGUUCUUUGUUUGGAGUACGCGUUAUGAACCCUUUGUGGAGCAUGUCUUCGGGCUCCGUUCGCAAACGAGCUGAAGGUGAAGAGAAGACAUUAGCAGGGGAUGUGAAAACCAGUCCUCCACGAAGUGCACCUAAAAAGCAGCUACCUUCUAUUCCCAAAAAUGCUCUGCCCAUAUCGAAGCCUACAUCACCUGCCCCAGCAGCGCAGUCAACAAAUGGCACCCAUGCCUCUUACGGACCCUUCUACCUGGAAUAUUCACUCCUUGCAGAAUUCACAAUGGUAGUGAAGCAGAAGCUGCCAGGAGUCUACGUACAGCCAUCUUACCGCUCUGCGUUAGUGUGGUUUGGAGUAAUAUUCAUACGGCACGGGCUGUACCAGGAUGGCGUGUUCAAGUUUA
Molecule: long non-coding RNA, 622 nt
Filed under: Rattus norvegicus (Norway rat)
Lineage: Eukaryota; Metazoa; Chordata; Mammalia; Rodentia; Muridae
Description: long non-coding RNA NONRATT014061
Source: RNAcentral